Long non-coding RNA from Dermacentor andersoni, 492 nucleotides. RefSeq lists it as uncharacterized. The record is from RefSeq and is a predicted model, not a curated record. NCBI's taxonomy places the organism in Eukaryota, Metazoa, Arthropoda, Arachnida, Ixodida, Ixodidae.
UCAACCCAUCGGGAUGUGCUUCUUUACACUGAAGACCUCAGCUUUGGUGAUUCUGCUAACCAUGGAGGUCGCACUUGUUGCACCUAAUCCUCAGGACUGUAUUGCAAGGAAUGACGACGGAAGAGAUUGCAUCUUUGCUGGCACACGUAUUCAGAGGGGUGCCACUGUGAGCUGGCGAAAGCCCUGUGUUCAAGUUACGUGCUCAGGGGAUGGAUUAAGAACGACAGUUCUAGGGUGCCCAUAUAGAGGUGGACAAAACCCACACCCCGGAGCACCUGGACCGGCUGCAAUAGCCCAACACUACCCUUUCUGUUGCAAUAGUUGCGAGCAAGUACAAUAGCUGGAUAUCACUUGUGCUGAAGCCAGUUUUAACCAGUUCAAGUGCCCUGAUCUCCGAAUAUGGCGGAAGUAUUAUCUAUGUUAGUGUAGCAGGAGUAAUAAGAGGUCAGCGGGAUCGGGUGUUAUGAAUAAAAUAAGUUUUUCAUUCCACGA